This 761-nucleotide long non-coding RNA is filed under the name Homo sapiens (human). RNAcentral describes it as "non-protein coding lnc-RLIM-7:1". The record is from RNAcentral. Lineage: Eukaryota; Metazoa; Chordata; Mammalia; Primates; Hominidae.
AUGAAGCUGAACAUCUCCUUCCCAGCCACUUGCUGCCAGAAACUCAUUGAAGUGGAUGAUGAACGUAAACUUCAUACUUUUUAUGAGAAGUGUAUGGCUACAGAAGUUGCUGCUUAUGCUCUGGGUGAAGAAUGAAAGGGUUAUGUGGUCCAAAUCAGUGGUGGAAACGACUAACAAGGUUCCCCCAUGAAGCAGGGUGUCUUUACCCGUGGUCGUGUCCACCUGCUACUGAGUGAGGGGCAUUCCUGUUACAGACCAAGGAUAACUGGAGAGAGAAAGAGAAAAUCAUUUCAUGGAUGCCAGUCUGAGCGUUCUCAUCUUGGUUAUUGUAAAAAAAAAAAAAAAAAAAAAAAAGGAGAGAAGGAUAUUGGAUAUUCCUGGACUGACUGAUACUAUGGUGCCUCGUCGCCUGGGGCCCAAAAGAGCUAGCAGAAUCCACAAAUUUCUCAAUCUCUCUAAAGAUGAUGUUUGCCAAGUAUGUUGUAAGAAAGCCCUUAAACAAAGAAUGUAAGAAACCUAGGACCAAAGCACCCAAGAUUCAGCAUCUUGUUAAUCCAUGUGUCCUGCAACACAAACAGUGGCGUAUUGCUCUGAAGAAGCAGGGUACUAAGAAAAAUAAGGAAGAGACUGCAGAAUAUGCUAAACUUUUGGCCAAGAGAAUGAAGGAGGCUAAAGAGAAGCGCCAAGAACAAAUUGCAAAGAGACACAGACUUUCUUCUCUGCGACCUUCUACUUCUAAGCCUGAAUCCAGUCAGAAAUAA